RNAcentral lists this ribosomal RNA (768 nucleotides) under uncultured bacterium. Its description in RNAcentral is "bacterial SSU rRNA". It matches the Rfam family "Bacterial small subunit ribosomal RNA", at positions 634 to 1397 of the family's 1533-position model. The record is from RNAcentral.
UGGCUAACUGGAGUACAGGAGAGGAAAGUGGAAUUCCCAGUGUAGAGGUGAAAUUCAUAGAUAUUGGGAGGAACACCGGUAGCGAAGGCGGCUUUCUGGCCUGAUACUGACGCUGAGACGCGAAAGCGUGGGUAGCAAACAGGAUUAGAUACCCUGGUAGUCCACGCCGUAAACGAUGGGAACUAGGUGUAGGAAGUGUUGACCCUUUCUGUGCCGAAGCUAACGCAUUAAGUUCCCCGCCUGGGGAGUACGGUCGCAAGGCCAAAACUCAAAGGAAUUGACGGGGGCCCGCACAAGCGGUGGAGCAUGUGGUUUAAUUCGACGCUACGCGAAAAACCUUACCUGGGCUUGACAUGCUGGGAUUAUUCCUGAGAAAUCAGGAGGAUUGCCUUCGGGUGUAACCAGCACAGGUGCUGCAUGGCUGUCGUCAGCUCGUGUCGUGAGAUGUUGGGUUAAGUCCCGCAACGAGCGCAACCCUCGCUUUUAGUUGCCAUCAUUAAGUUGGGCACUCUAAAGGAACUGCCCCGGUUAACGGGGAGGAAGGUGAGGAUGACGUCAAGUCCUCAUGGCCCUUAUGCCCAGGGCUACACACGUGCUACAAUGGUUUGUACAAAGGGAAGCGAGCUCGCAAGAGUAAGCCAAUCCCAAAAAACAAGCCUAAGUUCGGAUUGAAGUCUGCAACUCGACUUCAUGAAGUUGGAAUCGCUAGUAAUCCCAUAUCAGCAUGAUGGGGUGAAUACGUUCCCGGGCCUUGUACACACCGCCCGU